Molecule: long non-coding RNA, 556 nt
Filed under: Coturnix japonica (Japanese quail)
Lineage: Eukaryota; Metazoa; Chordata; Aves; Galliformes; Phasianidae
Description: lncRNA (ENSCJPG00005008641.1)
Source: RNAcentral
UGCCUCUCUUUAGCUCCUGCCUGCCAUAGGAAGACAUGUACUGUCUUACUAGCAAAGUAUUUGUGCUAGAAUAUGGAUUUAAUAACAAGCUGAUAGCUGAAGUGAUUUAGAUAAAUAAAAGGCUAUGACACCUGUGGAGCUGGGGAGCCCCAAGAGGCGCUGAAAUGGAUGGCUUUCUAAAGUGAAGCUCCAGUACCAAGAAGUGGGAAACACUGCUUUCCAUGAGAGAGAAAAAUGAAAGAUUCCAGGAAUGGCGGUGACAAAGGACAGGUUUGCUUCCCAGAACUAAUGAACCUGACAAACACAAUAUUUUGGGUCCCUGGAAUCUCAGAAGCUUUUGUGACAUGCCAUUAAUCUACCUUUCAUGGAUAGUUCAUCAGCAUUCCAGGGGGUAUGGGUAUGAAAAUCUGUGUUUUAUGUGACCAAGGGUUAAAAGUGGUCCUGCAGGCUCUGAAAGGGACUGUUUUAAGUUCCUGACCCCAGGAAGAGACAAGGACUGUUCCUUAUUGUGAUCUGGGGAUGGAAAGGGAACCAAAGGGAGCUCUGAGUAGAGGAG